AAUGUGGAAGUUGUGUUAGUUCCACACAAGCGAACCUCCGAAUGCCAACAUCUGUUGGAGCCUCGAGCAUGUUCGAUGGCAACUCGUUUUUACAGGACACACAAGAAAAUUCCCUCUGUUAUAACAUUUUUAGAGCUCUGUUCGGCUUUGGAGCACUCAAACAGUUUUUGCCAUGUCCGCCAAAGAGGGUUCGUACUUCAGUUUGUCGUUGAUUCUGCAAGAGUACGGCUUAGGGACCGGAUAUAUCAGAACGGUUUGUUACGUGAAAUAUUUCAAACGUCAAUUGCUGUAGUAAUAAACAUACAUGGGCAAACAUUUUUAUAGGAAAUUAAAUAUUAAUUCAGUAGAUUAAACAAAUCCACCUAAAAUACACAAAAAUAAUAAUGAAAAGUGAGAAUUAUAUGUUAUGUGUGACAAAAUGUGAAAGAGAAAUGAUCACAAAAUCGGAAUUGUUUGGAUCUCAAAUAGUUCCCUCCAUUAUAUUAAUGGAAAAUGAGUUUUAAAUGCUAAUAACCCGCAAAACAAUGGAUAUGUGCAAGCAUAAGACACCCAAAGUUCUGUCCAAGAAUAUUUCCUUUGAGGGCUAUUUGUAUUGCAGCAGCAGUAGCCGUAGCGGAGUUCGGCAAAUUCUUCACAAACAAAAUAAGAAAUAUAAAUUCAAAUUUAAAUUACUGAAAAUGUUAGUAUCGCAUUUGCCACCUGACUGACUCACCAUUGCGUAUGAAACGAUUAUCUUGAAGAGUGGAUAGCCCAAGAACUAAUCUGGCUCGUAUAACUAGUCCUACCCAAAAGGAUUAAAACGGAAUACGAAUGUCAUACGAGGGUCAGUGCGCGCCAGUCGAACGUCUAAUCCUACACGAAAUUGACGUUUGAUUGGAGGAAAAUCAACCCCACUGUCACCUACGUGGAUUAAACAGGAACAGGAGGCCGUCCAAAGGACACACCACCCCCGAAGCAGCCAACUCACACAACGACAAAUGUCGCCAUCAUCGGCCUCGAUGCUGCCGCCACCCCAGCAGCAGCAGCAACUCCGACCGCGACGACUGCUGCCUGGAGAACGAGCCGGCUGCAUCUCUCGAGGCGACAAAUGGUGCCAUUUUCUCUAUGGAUGAAGGCAAUCAGACAGCGGAGACAGCUUUCUUUGCCGGGAGCCUGGGCAUGGGCUACAGGCAGUGCCACAGCGCGGAGCAGUUGAGUGCAUAAGACUUGAAAAUAUGGUUUCAGCAAAUCGAGGAAUUUGGCUUCCAGCCUCAAGGCGAGCACCUGAUCACCGGAUGUGAUGGAUCCGCAACCAGCAGGAGAAGAACGAGGAGCACGAGCACCACGAGGCACACUCUUUCCACACACACACACACACACAUAUAGUAUAGACGCCAUACAUCCACAUCAACAUAAACAUGCUCUUAGACCGCUCGACUGUGUGUCCGUUGUCGACUCGGAUGACGUCCACAAUUAUUACC
Molecule: small RNA, 1460 nt
Filed under: Drosophila pseudoobscura pseudoobscura
Lineage: Eukaryota; Metazoa; Arthropoda; Insecta; Diptera; Drosophilidae
Description: GA31122
Source: RNAcentral